Non-coding RNA from Zootermopsis nevadensis, 2561 nucleotides. The record is from RefSeq and is a predicted model, not a curated record. NCBI's taxonomy places the organism in Eukaryota, Metazoa, Arthropoda, Insecta, Blattodea, Termopsidae.
GCACAUGUCUGUUGAUUGUGCUGCCAUCUUCACAAAAGUGCAACGAAAUAACUAGUCAAUAUGUAAUAGAAAUGUGAAAAUGGCGUCUUCUCAAGAUGCCUGGUAUUUAUCUUUGUUAGGUUUGGCGGAAAAUUUCAGAACGUCUAGUCCACCAAACAUAAAGUUGUGUAUACAGUGUUUACAAGCAGUUUUCAAUUUCAAACCGCCACCCAGAGUUGAAGCUAGGACACAUCUGCAAUUGGGAAAUAUUUUGCUGACCCAUACUAAGAACAUCGAUUUGGCGAGAACUCAUUUGGAACAAGCGUGGCUGCUUUCUCAAGUGAUAAAUGCAUUUGAUGACGUGAAAUUCGAAGCUGCUAGUGUCCUAGCAGAGCUGUAUGAGCAGCAGGCACAAUCUAGCUUGUCAAAACCUAUCUUGAGGAAGGCCAUCGAGCUAUCACAGCACAGUGUUUACUGGCAUUGCAGACUUAUCUUCCAGCUAGCACAAAUUCACGCAAGUGAGCGGGAUUAUGAGCUUGCGAGCAGCCUGUUGGGGGUUGGGGUGGAUUAUGCUCAUAUUUCCAAUGCGGCCUACACCAGGGUUCUCUUCCUGCUUAGCAGAGGCAUGCUCCUGUUGAUAGACAAGAAGUUCCAGGAAGUUCACCCUCUGCUGAAUCAGGCCGGCCACCUGGUGGAUGGUUGGCAGGGCAGUCAGUACCAGAAGGAGUACCUAAAGGUGUUCUUCCUUGUGCUACAGGUGUGCCACUACCUGAUGGCAGGGCAAGUAAAGAGCGUCAAGCCGUGCCUGAAGCAGCUUCAGCAGAGCAUCCAGACCAUCAUGCAACCCUCUUGGCCCACAGACGAGAGCUUGUGGUGUCAUAACGCCACUGUUCCAGGUGUGAGUGGCCCCAAUGUGGGGGACAUGUUCAUCUGGAUGCCAAAGGAACAUCUGUACGUGUUGGUGUACCUGGUGACGGUGAUGCACAGCAUGCAGGCUGGCUACAUGGACAAGGCACAGAAAUACACUGACAAGGCACUGAUGCAGAUCGAGAAACUAAAGAUUGUGGACAACAGGCCGAUUUUAUCGGUGUUUCAGCUGAUGUUACUGGAACACAUCAUCAUGUGUCGGCUUGUGAUGGGGAACAAAUCGCUGGCGCUGAGUGAGAUCUCGCAGGCCUGUGGUCUGUGCCAGCAGCAGCCACGGCUCCUGGUCACGCACCAACCCCAGCUGCACACGCUGCUCGGCCUAUACGCCAUGAGCAUGAACUGCAUGGAAGCAGCUGAGGCUCAGUUCACCGCUGCCCUUAGGACAUCACAGGAGCGAGAGCUGUGGACAUUUGCAAAUUUAAACCUGGCCAUCGUGUACCUGCGUGCAAAGCGGGAGCAAGAACUUGCAGCGCUUCUGGAUAGAAUUGACCCCAAUACGCUGCCCUCUCACUCACACAGCCUCAGGGCUGCAGCAUUCUACGUGCAGGGGCUCCAGUCAUUCUUUCAGGCUCGCUACAAUGAGGCCAAGCGGUACUUGCGAGAGACGCUCAAGAUGGCCAAUGCAGAGGAUCUGAAUCGUCUGACAUCGUGCUCACUAGUGCUGUUGGGCCAUAUCUUCUUAUCGCUGGGCAACAGUCGAGAGAGUAUGAACAUGGUGACACCUGCUAUGCAACUGGCAAGCAAGAUUCCUGAUGUGCACGUCCAGCUGUGGGCCUCUGCCAUCCUGAAAGGGCGCGUAACAAACGUUGUAACUGCGCAGACCUGUACCGGAUGUGUGGGGACCCGGUUCGAGAAAAUGAAGCUUUCCAGAUGCACUGCAACUUCUCCCAGAUGUUGCUGAAAGACCACUUUCAGGCGUCGCAGAUGCCAGAGCACAAUCUGACGAACUGGACGGACGGUAGCUUCCCCAUGCUUGUCGGAAAUCCCCCCAGCACAUCUGACACUCUGCUAUGAGCUACAGGUUGCGUUGGCAUAGUGGCUGAGAUGUAGGGGUUGAAAUUCCAUUGCACAUGUCAUUAUAUUUUUUCUGUGGAUGAUGGGGGAUGUCCUCCCACAGGCCAAACAUUUCUCCUGUCUGGAAUGCCUGCAGGCUCUUUCAGAAUCAAGCCUCAGGAGAAACAUCUACUUGCUUUCUUAUCUUACCAAAGAAAGGUAAAGUUCUGCAAACUGAAACAUUAUGUGGGGUGGACACAGGUCACUUUGAGACGUUUCAUUCAGUCGUUAACACGCACGAUACCUCAGAAUGAGGAAAGAUACUGGGCUGCCUUCUACUAAUGGCAGUGUUAAUUAUCUUUAACUGGUAGCAAGUCAGUUAGAAUUGUCACAGUAUUAUGUAUUAAAUGUGCAGAAAUAUAAUUGUCCUGUAUUGACAUGCAGGUCCUAUAGAAUGAUAUGGGUGCAUUAUUCCUUCAAAGACGUGAAAGGUUAGUCACUGAUGUCAAGAUUAAAAUGCCCAACACUUGGCAGCUACAGGACUUCAUUUCAGCACCACUGUGACUCAAUUUGCAGAACCCUCAUCCUUUUGCAUAGAUUGUAUUUAUGUACAAAAGAUCACAUUCUUCAUAAUUAAGAAAUGUUGACAAUUACGAAUUUCA